ACCUUGUCAUUAGUUGCCAUCAUUUGUUGGGCACUCUAAUGAGACUGCCGGUGACAAACCGGAGGAAGGUGGGGAUGACGUCAAGUCCUCAUGGCCCUUAUGGGUAGGGCUUCACACGUCAUACAAUGGUCGGUACAGAGGGUUGCCAACCCGCGAGGGGGAGCUAAUCCCACAAAGCCGAUCGUAGUCCGGAUCGCAGUCUGCAACUCGACUGCGUGAAGUCGGAAUCGCUAGUAAUCGUGGAUCAGCAUGUCACGGUGAAUACGUUCCCGGGUCUU
This 278-nucleotide ribosomal RNA is filed under the name uncultured Rhodocyclaceae bacterium. RNAcentral's name for it is "partial 16S ribosomal RNA". It matches the Rfam family "Bacterial small subunit ribosomal RNA", at positions 1102 to 1382 of the family's 1533-position model. Lineage: Bacteria; Pseudomonadati; Pseudomonadota; Betaproteobacteria; Rhodocyclales; Rhodocyclaceae. The record is from RNAcentral.